AAUUCCACUCAAAAUAAUGAUUUGGGUUGAUCUGCGUCGCAUGGGCUGUAUGUGCGACGCAGAUAAGGCUCAAAAAAUGCAGAAAUUAAUGAGUUGGGCUUAUCUGCUUCACAUGGGCUUUAUGUGCGACGCAGAUUAGGCUAAGGAAAUGCAAAUAAGGCGCGCACUUCAUUCUUGUAUUUUCAAACCCUAACUUUUUUUUUGAGGGUAUCAAACCCUAACUUCUUAGUCUCUCCCUCUCUCUCUUCAGCCGUUCUUCUCUCUCUCUCCCUCUCUCCCUCUCUCCAUCUCUCUCUUCCUCAUACCACUAGUUCAUCAUCAACAACUUCAUUCUUAUUUGUCUCUUUUUCCUUUGCAUGCAACGAAUUCUAUAUCCCUUGCCCUCACUUAUGAAAUCUCUUUCUCACCUCCAUCCCCUUAUCAUUCGAAACUCAAAUUUGCCAUACCUUAUUCGAAACUCAAGUUUUAGGAUUACCUUGCUCGAAUAAAACGGAAACCGAAGAAAUCAUAUAUAUUGCUCGAACAAAAGCAGAGAUCUUUUCUUCCUUAAGAAAUUGUCGCUGAACAAAAAUUUCUUAAUCUUAUUCUAGAUCGUCGGUGCAAGAACCGAGGCUUUUCAUUUCAGAUCUGGUGGAGAAAGAGAAGAAAUUGCAGACAACUUUUUAUAUUUCGAUCAUUUUAGGAUGUUUCUCUACUUGUUGUAGGAGUGAUUUGGAUUUUUUGGUUAAUUCAUUUUAUUUUGUAAGAUUUGUAUAAUUUUUCAUUUUAGAUUUCGGUUCAUGUUUUUUUAUUAUAGAACAAUUGUAUAAGUUUUUCAUUAUAGAUUUUUGUUCAUGUUUUUUAAUCUAUUACCCUUUCUCUAUUUCAUGAAAUUAAUUUUUUUUUGGUAAAAAUA
This is a long non-coding RNA of Beta vulgaris subsp. vulgaris (sugar beet), 895 nucleotides long. RefSeq lists it as uncharacterized. The transcript has 2 exons. The record is from RefSeq and is a predicted model, not a curated record. Lineage: Eukaryota; Viridiplantae; Streptophyta; Magnoliopsida; Caryophyllales; Amaranthaceae.